GACGAACGCUGGCGGCGUGCUUAACACAUGCAAGUCGAACGGAAAGGCCCUGCUUUUGUGGGGUGCUCGAGUGGCGAACGGGUUAGUAACACGUGAGUAACCUGCCCUUGACUUUGGGAUAACUUCAGGAAACUGGGGCUAAUACCGGAUAGGAGCUCCUGCUGCAUGGUGGGGGUUGGAAAGUUUCGGCGGUUGGGGAUGGACUCGCGGCUUAUCAGCUUGUUGGUGGGGUAGUGGCUUACCAAGGCUUUGACGGGUGGCCGGCCUGAGAGGGUGACCGGCCACAUUGGGACUGAGAUACGGCCCAGACUCCUACGGGAGGCAGCAGUGGGGAAUAUUGCACAAUGGGCGGAAGCCUGAUGCAGCAACGCCGCGUGCGGGAUGACGGCCUUCGGGUUGUAAACCGCUUUCGCCUGUGACGAAGCGUGAGUGACGGUAAUGGGUAAAGAAGCACCGGCUAACUACGUG
This 468-nucleotide ribosomal RNA is filed under the name uncultured bacterium. Its description in RNAcentral is "partial 16S ribosomal RNA". It matches the Rfam family "Bacterial small subunit ribosomal RNA", at positions 28 to 507 of the family's 1533-position model. The record is from RNAcentral.